CAGUCUAACAGUUCUUUUAGAAUUUGACUAGCAGGUUUUGAGGAUUCUGCUGAAAACCUAU
Fukomys damarensis (Damara mole-rat) is the source of this 61-nucleotide small nuclear RNA. Its record names the gene U7. It matches the Rfam family "U7 small nuclear RNA". Rfam says of the family: Animal histone pre-mRNAs are spliced by a different mechanism than nuclear pre-mRNAs and self-splicing introns. This processing involves the U7 snRNP, which contains only one RNA species: U7. The record is from Ensembl. NCBI's taxonomy places the organism in Eukaryota, Metazoa, Chordata, Mammalia, Rodentia, Bathyergidae.